Molecule: long non-coding RNA, 1428 nt
Organism: Nerophis ophidion (straightnose pipefish)
Lineage: Eukaryota; Metazoa; Chordata; Actinopteri; Syngnathiformes; Syngnathidae
Exons: 6
Source: RefSeq, a predicted model, not a curated record
GCAUUAUAUGCUCAUAAUGUUAACAACAAAAAAUGCUGAUAAUGUUAUAAUUAAUAAGUUCUAACAUUAUUUUUAUGUGUUUUGUUGCAGACACCAACUGUUGAUGUUCUAUCUCAACAUUCUCCAGACUCAUGUGAGCGAUAAACCGACUUCAUCCCUCCAACAGACACCAACUGUUGGGGUUCUAUCUCAACAUUCUCCAGAUUCAGAUGUGAGCGAUAAACCGACUUCAUCCCUCCAACAGAAACCAACUGUUGAGGUUCCAUCUCAACAUUCUCCAGAUUCAGAUGUGAGCCAUUAACUGACUUCAUCCCUCCAACAGAAACCAACUGUUGAGGUUCUAUCUCAACAUUCUCUAGAUUCAGAUGACAGCCAUAAACCGACUUCAUCCCUCCAACAGAUUGACAGCAGGACAAAUCGCUGGAAGUGGGUAUGUCUCAAGCUUCUUCCACUUGGUCCACUCCAAAGCGGGCUGCAAAGGGGAAGAAGUGGAAGCAGUUGAAUGACACAUGUUGCAUUUUGUAACUGGCAACAAAGUACCAGGUAAAAAAGAUUGUGAAGCCUCCCUCCAUAAAGAACUAGUAACUCUACAGGACAGAGAUUGGCUUGACAUCAAGUACUACAUCCAAAACAGAAUUAUAUUUAAAAAAGGAAAAAAAAAUGUUUUCCCACAUCUUCUGUGGUAGUUUGAGUAUGUUACCAGCAAUUAAAAAAGCAAAAUAAACAGCAAGCGUUUUGUAUUUAUUCCAGAUAAUUCUUAGCGACAAAAUCCACAAAAACAAUUCAGUUACACUUAAUCGACAAUUACAUUUUUACCCAUGUUUCUUUUAAACUCUUCUUGGUUUUAGAUUACAGUAGCAUGGGAUUGGGAUUUUUUUUUUUAAAUGACAACACAUCAACUAAACCAACUCAGGUGGUUUUGUUAAGUCUCUGAUGUCAUUAGCCUCAUAUGUCACAUGAACCUGAAAUCUUUAACACUCUGUGAUGUCAUGGUUGUCAUAUUUCACAAACUUGAAAUCUUAAACACUCUGUGACGUCAUGGUUGUCAUAUUUCACAAACUUGAAAUCUUAAACACUCUGUGACGUCAUGGUCAUCAUAUGUCACAUGAACCUGAAAUCUUAAACACUCGGUGACGUCAUGGUCAUCAUAUGUCACAUAAACUUGAAAUCUUAAACACUCUGGUCUUCAUUUGUCACCGAAACCUGACAAGUCCUCAUAUGUACCAUAAAAAUCAGGUUCAGAAAAAAACAAAAGAGUUGCAAAAAUCUCAAUAGACCACUGUGUUUGUAAAAUUCUGGUUCACUAACCAUCUGAUUCCCAGGCCUGCAGGACCAUUGGAAAGGCAUGUCCCCAUAUGUCACGUUUUUGUCAUAAGUCCUCAUAUGUCACCCAAACACGUAUGUGUGUGUGUGUGUGUGUGUGUGUGU